This 492-nucleotide ribosomal RNA is filed under the name uncultured bacterium. RNAcentral's name for it is "partial 16S ribosomal RNA". It matches the Rfam family "Bacterial small subunit ribosomal RNA", at positions 29 to 507 of the family's 1533-position model. The record is from RNAcentral.
AGUGAACGCUGGCGGUAGGCCUAACACAUGCAAGUCGAACGGCAGCACAGUAAGAGCUUGCUCUUACGGGUGGCGAGUGGCGGACGGGUGAGGAAUACAUCGGAAUCUACUUUUUCGUGGGGGAUAACGUAGGGAAACUUACGCUAAUACCGCAUACGACCUACGGGUGAAAGCAGGGGAUCUUCGGACCUUGCGCGAUUGAAUGAGCCGAUGUCGGAUUAGCUAGUUGGCGGGGUAAAGGCCCACCAAGGCGACGAUCCGUAGCUGGUCUGAGAGGAUGAUCGGCCACACUGGAACUGAGACACGGUCCAGACUCCUACGGGAGGCAGCAGUGGGGAAUAUUGGACAAUAGGCGCAAGCCUGAUCCAGCCAUACCGCGUGGGUGAAGAAGGCCUUCGGGUUGUAAAGCCCUUUUGUUGGGAAAGAAAAGCAGCAGGUUAAUACCCCGCUGUUCUGACGGUACCCAAAGAAUAAGCACCGGCUAACUUCGUG